UACAGAGGGUGCAAGCGUUAAUCGGAAUUACUGGGCGUAAAGCGUGCGCAGGCGGUUAUGCAAGACAGAGGUGAAAUCCCCGGGCUCAACCUGGGAACUGCCUUUGUGACUGCAUAGCUAGAGUACGGUAGAGGGGGAUGGAAUUCCGCGUGUAGCAGUGAAAUGCGUAGAUAUGCGGAGGAACACCGAUGGCGAAGGCAAUCCCCUGGACCUGUACUGACGCUAAUGCACGAAAGCGUGGGGAGCAAACAGG
Molecule: ribosomal RNA, 253 nt
Filed under: uncultured bacterium
Lineage: Bacteria
Description: partial 16S ribosomal RNA
Rfam family: Bacterial small subunit ribosomal RNA
Source: RNAcentral